This 253-nucleotide ribosomal RNA is filed under the name uncultured bacterium. RNAcentral describes it as "partial 16S ribosomal RNA". It matches the Rfam family "Bacterial small subunit ribosomal RNA", at positions 524 to 776 of the family's 1533-position model. The record is from RNAcentral.
UACGGAGGGUGCAAGCGUUAUCCGGAUUCACUGGGUUUAAAGGGCGCGCAGGCGGCUACGCACGUCCGUUGUGAAAUCGCUCGGCUCAACUGGGCGGGGUCAGCGGAUACGGCGUAGCUGGAGCAAGCUAGGGGGCAAUGGAAUUCCCGGUGUAGUGGUGGAAUGCGUAGAUAUCGGGAGGAACACCAGUGGCGAAGGCGGUUGCCUGGAGCUUUGCUGACGCUGAGGCGCGAAAGCGUGGGGAGCGAUCCGG